ACGUAGGUUGCGAGCGUUAUCCGGAUUUACUGGGCGUAAAGCGCUUGUAGGCGGUAAUAUAAGUUGGGCGUGAAACCUCUGGGCUUAACCCGGAGCAUGCGCACAAUACUGUAAUACUAGAGGGUGUCAGAGGAAAACGGAAUUCCCGGUGUAGUAGUGAAAUGCGUAGAUAUCGGGAGGAACAUCAGUGGCGAAGGCGGUUUUCUGGGACAUUACUGACGCUGAGAAGCGACAGCUAGGGGAGCAAACAGGAUUAGAAACCCUGGUAGUCCUAGCCGUAAACGAUGGAUGCUAGGCGUUGGCAGACUCAAUCCUGUCCGCGCCGAAGUUAACACGAUAAGCAUCCCGCCUGGGAAGUACGACCGCAAGGUUA
This 373-nucleotide ribosomal RNA is filed under the name uncultured bacterium. RNAcentral's name for it is "bacterial SSU rRNA". It matches the Rfam family "Bacterial small subunit ribosomal RNA", at positions 525 to 896 of the family's 1533-position model. The record is from RNAcentral.